Molecule: long non-coding RNA, 3127 nt
Organism: Scylla paramamosain (green mud crab)
Lineage: Eukaryota; Metazoa; Arthropoda; Malacostraca; Decapoda; Portunidae
Exons: 6
Source: RefSeq, a predicted model, not a curated record
CGCAGGAUUGUCCCAGAGCACCUGUAGAGGGACAGGACUACAGUCAUGUACACACAGGAGUGUCCCAGAGCACCUGUAGUGGGACAGGAAUACAGUCAUGUACACACAAGAGUGUCCCAGAGCACCUGUAGUGGGAUAGGACUACAGUCAUGUACACAUUUAACUGCUAAUACUUCCGAGUCUUGUCUGUAUAAUCAAAAGUAUCGUCAUGCAGACUAAGCUGAGCUAGAGGUCCUGCCCCUUGCCUCCUUCCUUUAUGCAUGGCAGUUGACUGGUCCAUUUAAAAUGUUUCUGCCACUUCCCCAAUAUGUCGUGAAUUUGAGAUUUUUCCAGUCAUUUUAUUAAUUAACUUUAUCCUCAGUGGAUUUUUUUAAAAUAUCAAUACAAAAAUAAUAGUAGUAACUUCAACAUAUGAGCCAUUCAGACAAACUCUGGAAACAAACUAAAACAAAGAAACAUAUUUACAUAAACGCAUCCAUUUCAAUGUCAGCACAUGCCUUGUCUUCAGUGACACGUGUCGACAGAUGUAUGGAUGGCACCAGCUCAGGUGUCUCAUGCAGCAAAUAUUCAGAUAUAUAAAUAUGUAUGUUUAUUGUUUCCACAUUUUUUUCUUCCUAGAGCAAAACAGUGAAAGGCCAUUCAUCCCCUCUGUACAGUGAGAUGAGAGGGUUGUGUCUCUUUCAGCAAGUCACCAGUUGCGGCCAGCAGCUGAGCACACCGGCACUGGCAUUGUGCCACCUGGCCCCUUAUAGAGUGUGGGAGACAGCACUGCCUUGUUAAUGUUAGUAAACCAAGCUUUUCUCCAACAGCAAGUUUGAUGCCAAGUGGAGGGAGCAGAGCAGCCUCUGCUUAUCGUCCUCUCUGCGGUGCGUGUCUUUGUUAACCCGUGUGGGAUAAGUCACCUUCCAGAGGUCAAGUUACCUGCAGACAGGAGCAGUAGCACAAGCGGGGUGGUGGUGAUCAUGGUGGCUCUGGUGGUGGUGAAGUGGUGGCUCUCCCAACCGCCUUUAUAGCUGCGCACCACUGCCUCGUGCCUACAGAAAAUGGCCAGCCUUGAGUGGAACCGAAAUUCAGUAUACUAGCUCACCACUUCUGUCCGCCGAACACGUGGCAUCUGUCUCCGUUACUGUGUGUCAAGGUAUUUGAGGAGCUUCGAAACCUAAGACUGAGAUACUGAGAGAAGAGUGAACUCUUGAAGCCUCAGGCACGAGUGUAUGGAGUUCGAUCUUCAGAGAGGCAGUGCAUUCUUGGCCGUGGCGGAAUUAGGUUCGUGUGUAUAUGUGUGUGUGUGUGUGUGUGUGUGUUCGUUGUUUUCAUAUUAUUUCCUUCCACGUUUAGUUUUUCUCCCCUCGAGUUUACGGCUCUGUUUUCUUGUACAAAUAAUCACUCCCGUCUUCUUUCCUUCUUUUCCACUGUGCUUACUUUCGUCCUCUACACAAGCUUUAUCCCUCCCCCGCUGCCGCCUUCGCUUCCAUCACCAGUGGUUGGCUGCUGCCGCAGCUGCCGUUGCUUGAGGCUUCAUGGGUUGAAACAGGUGACGCCAAUGCAAGUGACGGCUGUAGCUGUAAUGACAGACGCAAAAUGCACUCGAGAAUCCAACAAGUCAAUUUGUCCCGCCUCUCUAUUUAUGCUUGCUGGGAGCCCUUCAGUAAAAUGGAGAGAAGGAAGAAGAGUACUGAAUAUAUUUUGCAGCUCCUAGCCAUGUAAUGCUUGGAGGUGGUUGUACAACAAGCAAACAUGUCACACAAAGCUUAGUGGUGGAGGAAACCUGUCACAAAUACCACUGAAAGGUUAAGACCCUUGUCAUGUCCCCUGUACCACUUGAAGACCUCCAUCAGAUCCCUUCUUUGUCACCCUUGUCACAUCCCCUAUAUCACUUGAACACCUCUAUCAAUGUACUUUUUUUUUAACUGUACAUAUGUUAUUCAACAUUCCUGUUAAUGUCUUUAUUCUAAUCAAAUAAUUACUAAUGUCAUGUAGUGUAGCCUUGCAAGCAAUGCGUUAUAAGUUGAUUUGAUUUGAUUUCUUUUAAAAAGGUUUGCCCCAGCCAAAGCAAAGACAUCUCUGCUGCCAUCAGCAGGGGUCCAAACACGGCAGGUCCCACCACAUUGGAUUUUGUGUAGCCAUUGAGAGAUAACAGGUGAGCUGUGUGUGGUGAGCCCCAUGUUGUCUCUGAGGGUGACCCCCAUAUCCACACACCAGCAGCAGCAGCAGCAGCAGCAGCAGCAAGUGUCCACCUCCUCCUCCUCCUCCUCCUCCUCCUCCUCCUCCAGCAGCUGGCUAGGGUGUAGGGGCAGGCUGAGCAAGUUGAAGGGGGAAACACCUGUAACUGUGCACUUCCUCACUGGCAAUGAAAAACUAUGAGCAACAACUCCCCUGCGAUGAACAACACCUCUCACGUGCAACAACAACAGUCAACAAUACCUGCUUCACACUGAUGUAGGUAAGUAGGUAGGGGUGGGUCUCUCUCUCUCUCUCUCUCUCUCUCUCUCUCUCUCUCUCUCUCUCUCUCUCUCUCUCUCUCUCUCUCUCUCUCUCUAACACUUUAUUAUGCUUGACAAGUAUACAUAUAUUUUACAUACAAUUUUUAACAGGUCAAACAGCCCAUUACAAGCGAGGGGGGGUUUAUGGGCAAUGGCAGGUAAAAAUUUAAAUUUUGGGAAUAAUAUAUUUUAUGAAAUAGUAGAAGAGAGGUAAUACAAACUAAUAACAUUUUAUAGAUAGUUGAAGAGGUAAUACAAGCUAACUUUUUAUAGAUAGUUGAAGAGGUAAUACAAGCUAAUAGGAACUAUUAUUUAGUUGAAGAGGUAAUACAAGCUAAUAUUAAUAUAAAUCAUACUAAUAAUACAGCACAAUGAUGGUAAAUAGUAGUGUAAUAUAAUAAUGCUAUAAUAUCUAUGAUAGUAGUGUAGAAAUGUAUCAAUCUGUAGAUUGCAAUGUGUGACUAGUAAAGAGGACAACAUGUCUCUUAAAUUUGUCUUUAAAAGAUGAUAGGCUGGGUGAGUGUUUGGUAUAUGACAUUGUAUAUUCAUAUUUUAGGUCCUAGUAGAUACAUAAGUGAAUGUUUGUAUAAUGUUAAAUUGGAUCUGGGUAUAUUUAGUGAGUACUGGUUCCUGGUUAGGUAAUU